This is a non-coding RNA of Mercenaria mercenaria, 73 nucleotides long. The record is from the annotation of a RefSeq genome assembly. Lineage: Eukaryota; Metazoa; Mollusca; Bivalvia; Venerida; Veneridae.
GGCUGGGUAGCUCAAGUCGGUAGAGCAUCGGAACGGCAUUCCGAGGCCCCGGGUUCGAGUCCCGGUCUGGCUG